Molecule: small nuclear RNA, 21 nt
Filed under: Arabidopsis thaliana (thale cress)
Lineage: Eukaryota; Viridiplantae; Streptophyta; Magnoliopsida; Brassicales; Brassicaceae
Description: snRNA_13260
Source: RNAcentral
AAUGUAAUGUUAAAUUAAAUC